AUUGAACGCUGGCGGCAUGCUUUACACAUGCAAGUCGAACGGCAGCGCGGGCUUCGGCCUGGCGGCGAGUGGCGAACGGGUGAGUAAUACAUCGGAACGUGCCCAGUAGUGGGGGAUAGCUCGGCGAAAGCCGGAUUAAUACCGCAUACGACCUGAGGGUGAAAGCGGGGGAUCUUCGGACCUCGCGCUAUUGGAGCGGCCGAUGGCAGAUUAGCUAGUUGGUGGGGUAAAGGCCUACCAAGGCGACGAUCCGUAGCUGGUCUGAGAGGACGACCAGCCACACUGGGACUGAGACACGGCCCAGACUCCUACGGGAGGCAGCAGUGGGGAAUUUUGGACAAUGGGCGAAAGCCUGAUCCAGCAAUGCCGCGUGUGUGAUGAAGGCCUUCGGGUUGUAAAGCACUUUUGGCGGGAACGAAAAGGACUGUGCCAAUACCACGGUUCGAUGACGGUACCCGCAGAAUAAGCACCGGCUAACUACAUG
This 484-nucleotide ribosomal RNA is filed under the name uncultured bacterium. RNAcentral's name for it is "partial 16S ribosomal RNA". It matches the Rfam family "Bacterial small subunit ribosomal RNA", at positions 29 to 507 of the family's 1533-position model. The record is from RNAcentral.